AUGGUGCCUGUCUGGGUUGAGGCGAACGCUGUGUCUGAAAUUGCAACAGUGCUCGAUUGCCCCGUCUCCUCUUUCCCCUGCACCUACUUGGGGUUACCCAUGUCUUUGCACAAGAUCACGCACGGUAUGCUUCUUCCAGGUAUGCACAGAGUUGACAAGAGGCUCUCAGGCUGGUUGGCUACCUUGUUGUCAAUUGGGGGCAGGCUAACACUAGUGAAUGUAAAUUUUGUCCUAGCCGGCACCCCGAGUUACUUCCUGUCAUGUUUCCCUUGGCCUAAGGAGUCCAUCAACAAGCUGGAGGGGCUGCUGCGUGCUUUCUUCUGGCAGGGGAGAAUGUGGUCAAGGGGGGUCACUGCCUUGUCGCUUGGGAUCGUGUUCUUCUUCCUCGUGGAUCCGGUGGCCUGGGAGUUAAUGAUCUUUCCGCGCAUAAUCAAGCUAUGUUCUGCAAGUUUGUGUCUAGAGUCCUCCAGGCAUCCGAUGUUCCUUGUUACAAAUAGUUUAUCUCACAUUAUUGUGCUGACAGCAUGCCGCUGGGAACGAACAGCAUGGAACGGCCUUUUGGAAGGGUCUCAAGUCGUGCGUCCCCUUGGUGCUGAAUUCCUCUCAUUACAAAGUUGGGGAAGGUGCUCUUGCUUACUUCUGGCCGGAUCAUUGGCUUCAUGUUGGGCGACUGAAGUAUGUGCUUCCAGUCCUGUACUCCUUUGCUAA
Molecule: ribosomal RNA, 708 nt
Filed under: Triticum aestivum (bread wheat)
Lineage: Eukaryota; Viridiplantae; Streptophyta; Magnoliopsida; Poales; Poaceae
Description: partial small subunit ribosomal RNA
Source: RNAcentral